UUGAAAGGGAAACGAUUGAAGUCAGUCGUACCAGCGGGAAAUCAACCUUUCGAGUGGGGUUUUGGAGUUUUGAAGUGUGUCAAAACCUUGAAGAUUUCAAAAUUUUCGCUCUUUUGGUGUACUUUCUCGCAGGUAGGUUAACAUCGAUUUUGAUCAUCAUAAAAGGAUUGGAGGAAUGUAGCUUCGAUCUCGUAUUGAAGUGUUAUAGCCUUUGGUAAAUGUGAUGAUUAGGAUCGAGGAUUGCAACGAAUACCCUUUUGGGCUAUCCGCCUGAUCUCUGAUACGUGACCUUGGUAUUGAAAGCGUGCUUAUGAUAUUAAGGUAUUACGGUCAAAAGGUUAGAACGGAUUACAUUCGUUAAGGAUGUUGACGUA
Molecule: ribosomal RNA, 374 nt
Filed under: uncultured Glomeromycotina
Lineage: Eukaryota; Fungi; Glomeromycota
Description: eukaryotic LSU rRNA
Source: RNAcentral